AUCAACGCUGGCGGCGCGCCUAACACAUGCAAGUCGAGCGAGAAAGGGAGCAAUCCUGAGUAAAGCGGCGUACGGGUGAGUAACACGUGGAUCAUCUGCCCUUUUGUGGGGAAUAACUUUGGGAAACCGAAGCUAAUACCGCAUAAGUCCGAGAGGAGAAAGCAGCAAUGCGCAGAAGGAGGAGUCCGCGGCCGAUUAGCUAGUUGGUGAGGUAAUGGCUCACCAAGGCUUCGAUCGGUAGCCGGCCUGAGAGGGCACACGGCCACACUGGCACUGAGACACGGGCCAGACUCCUACGGGAGGCAGCAGUGGGGAAUCUUGCACAAUGGGGGAAACCCUGAUGCAGCGACGCCGCGUGAGCGAUGAAGCCCUUCGGGGUGUAAAGCUCUUUCGACGGGAACGAUAAUGACGGUACCCGGAGAAGAAGCUGCGGCUAACUACGU
RNAcentral lists this ribosomal RNA (443 nucleotides) under uncultured bacterium. Its description in RNAcentral is "bacterial SSU rRNA". It matches the Rfam family "Bacterial small subunit ribosomal RNA", at positions 32 to 506 of the family's 1533-position model. The record is from RNAcentral.